Molecule: ribosomal RNA, 518 nt
Filed under: uncultured bacterium
Lineage: Bacteria
Description: bacterial SSU rRNA
Rfam family: Bacterial small subunit ribosomal RNA
Source: RNAcentral
UAGUCCACGCCGUAAACGAUGAGAACUAGAUGUCGGGGGGAUUUAGCCCUUCGGUGUCGCAGCUAACGCGUUAAGUUCUCCGCCUGGGGAGUACGGUGGCAACACUAAAACUCAAAGGAAUUGACGGGGACCCGCACAAGCGGUGGAGCAUGUGGUUUAAUUCGAUGCAACGCGAAGAACCUUACCUGCCCUUGACAUUGACAGAACCCUGUAGAGAUACGGGGGUGCCUUCGGGCCUGGAAAACAGGUGCUGCAUGGCUGUCGUCAGCUCGUGUCGUGAGAUGUUGGGUUAAGUCCCGCAACGAGCGCAACCCUUGUCUUUAGUUGCCAUCAUUAAGUUGGGCACUUUAAAGAGACUGCCGGUGACAAACCGGAGGAAGGUAAGGAUGACGUCAAGUCAGCAUGCCCCUUAUGCUCUGGGCUACACACGUGCUACAAUGGCCGUGACAAAGAGUUGCUACUUUGUGAAAACAAGCUAAUCUCAUAAACGCGGCCUCAGUUCGGAUUGCAGGCUGAAA